Balaenoptera ricei (Rice's whale) is the source of this 7420-nucleotide RNA transcript. RefSeq lists it as uncharacterized. Lineage: Eukaryota; Metazoa; Chordata; Mammalia; Artiodactyla; Balaenopteridae. The record is from RefSeq and is a predicted model, not a curated record. The transcript has 2 exons.
UUCGCCCCCCCCCCCUUCCCCUGAGUCGCGUCGCGCUGCUGCUCCCGCCCCAGCUGGGGCCGAAGAUGGAGUGGCGGCGGGGUUUGUCCUCGAGACUUCCUUGGAUCUGGGGGCAAACGCGCCGACAGUUCGGACGCGGGUCUGGCUGGUUUUGCUUCGUCUUAUUGCAUUUUAUGACUAAUUAAAAAGCUUUGCGUUCACCGUCGCCCCAGCCCGCUUUCCUCCUGGCUGUUCCCUCCGCCCCUGCCCCUGGCCCGCGAUCGCCCGAACCCGGCUCCUUCGAAGCCCCCUUCGGGCCCCGCCGCCCCCCUCGGGCCUCCCCGGCCCCCGCCUCCGCCCCCACCCCGCCCCCACCCCUUCGCCCCCACCCAACCGCUCUAGCUUCGGGCUCCGCGGCUCAAAAACAACAGCGGCAGCGCCGCCAGCUCCGCGCUCCGCCACUGCCCGGGCCGGCGGGCGGAACUCGGACCCGCCGCCCUCGGUCCCGCACGGAGCCGCAGGGAGCAGCGCGCCGGGCACUGGGGAGGCGGCGCCGGGGCAGCCGUCCCAGCGCCGGGCGCCCUGCACCUCGCCGCCUCGGGCGGGCCCGCUCUCUCCUGCCUCCGCGGCCCCAGGUGAGUACCCAACGGCGCGAGCGCCCGAGCUGGGCCACCUCGAGCGACCGGAGCCUCUGGGGACACGUCCCCCUCGCCUCGCGCGGCCCAGGUGCGUCUCGGGCGGGAGAGCCGGCGGAGGAGCAGGUGCCGGAGCGCUGGCGGGAGCCGACUGGGCGUUGCUUCUGCCCCACAGCCCUCAAAUUCGGCGGUGCGGCGGCGGAGGGGCAGGCUGGGCGCAGGCAGUGUGUUCCGGGCCCAGGGGCCUGGAGGGGACGGUGAGAACUGCUCAUUCGAGUAUGUCUGGGAUUCGAGAAGGAAUUGGAAGCAAACGGAGGCGCUGACCCCCGCGCUCUUUCAAGUACCAGGGUUCUGCCAGGCUGCGGGACUUGGAGCUGCCAGAGAGUCUCCCUGAGCCGGGGAGGGGUCGUGUGCGCGGUGCGGGGUCUCUGCCGCCCUGGGUGGGCUUCGGGCCGUGCCCCUCCCCUUUGUUGUGCAGUGAGACCAGUGGCGCCUCCGCUGGGACCUACAUUCGGAACCCCGCGCCCUCGCCAUAAAAGAGGUGAACUGGCAAUGUCCAAGGAGCUGCCCCCGAGACCCCGGGGUCCUAGCAGAGGCGCCCCGAUGCCAAGGGGCGCAUGGCCCACGCUACCCCAGAGGAAAGCCCGACGGAGCCGGGCUUGUCAAAAGCCAGCGGCGGCAGCGCGCUGGGCCUUCCACCCUGGCCUCUCCGCCGUCCUCAGCCGCUUCCCUGCCGGGAUUCGAACCCCGACGGAGCCCCCACUGCUGGGGGGUGGGGUGUCCAGGCUUGCGCCCGCCCGCUUACUGCCCCGGACGGAGAAGGCGCUCUCUGCCCGGCCGGGAUGCCCACUGACCACCGCCUCUGUUGUUUCCGGCCCUUGGUGAGUGUUGCCUGCGGUGGCGGCCCCGAAUUCACCAUCAGCUCAGUCCCCUGGCCCGCCGCCCUCCGACGGCCUGUGGCUCGCCGCCUCCCCCUCGCCGCCUCCCGAACCCUGACCAUCUUUCCUCGGAGACUGGGCAGAGAACCGCCAGGCUCAGAGGGUCCCUGGGCCUUGUUGCCAGGCCCUCCGGGGCUUGGAGGAGAGUCCCCACGGGGGGCUAGGGCGUGGCUGCCCUGGGUCCUCGUGGGCUCAGAGCCCUCUCAAGCCCAGGGUGUGUGUGUGUGGAGGGGUCGCUGGGAGAGGCAGGAAGGGAGCUGGAGCCCCCCGCUCUGGAGCUGUCUCCCUCACCCAGCCACGGCAGGCUCCAGCAGGGAGCAGAAUUGCGCUGGGGCGCUGGCCAGGAGAACACAAACACAGGGUCGCCCUCCCGCCUCGGCACCCCAGAUUCUCCCAGCCAAGUUAGGUGUGAGGCCUGGGGGGAAUACAGUGGCUCCUGUGAAGCCCUCCCACCUGCAGAGAGAGGGAGUCCCUUCCCCACCCCGACCCCCAGCUUAGCACUGUUUCUCCCACCCAGGUGGCAGCCAGCAGGACCCGAGGUCAGGAGGGCCCAGCCUCUUCUGGGGGUGCCCCAGCUCACUCAGGCCCUCUCUGUGCUCCCUCCCUCAGCUCAUGCGGUGAUGAAAAUUGUGGAGCAGCCUCCAGACUCUGGGACUGCACCCUUGCCGGGGCCCAGGAGAGGAGGGCGGGCGUCCGGGGAGAGGGCCUGUCUGUGCUGUCUCUGGCCGGUGUCCCCUAGGGCCCUGGAGGGUGGGGAGGACUACAGCUCUGAUCCUGCCUGGGGAGGAGUAAGCUAGCGGUCAAGGGUGACCAGGAAGACAGCCGAGGUGCCGACACCCCCAGGGUGCUCUCUCGAAUCAGCCCCAUCAGCUUGAGAAGCCCGGGCGGGCCGUCCCCAAGGCCAUGGCCCUGGCCGAGGUUGGGUCCCGGCCUGGCCAGGCCCUGCCCCCGCGUGGUGAGACUUAGACCUGACGGAGAGCAGGUCAGGCCUCAGGGAGAGUCCUGAGGAGCAAAAGGGUGGAGCAGGGGGAAUCAGAUGCAGGUCCUCCGGGGCGCCCAGCUCUGUGUCCUGCCCCACCGCGGACAUUAAGAGACUUGGGGAAACAGCUUGGGCCGGGCGGGGGGGGGGGGGGGGCUCAGCCAGAAUAGGGCAGUUUUCAUUUCAAUGGUACCAAAAGGUUUAAAGGCUGUUUUCAAACUGAGCUAAGCUUUGGGGAUUCUUGUGGCCGGGCCAAAGCUGGGACCUGGGGACUCCGCACUGGGGUGGGAGUACGCAAGUGCCGCCCACCCCAUCCCUGGUGCCCUCCACAGGGGCUUCUGUCCCUGCCAGACUGUCCAAGGCUGGUGACGUGUGGGUCGGCCACAGUGAUGUGCUCUACACCCUAUGGUGUUUGGGAACAGACUUCAAUGCUGCGGUCUAGGGGACGGGAGGGGGGACUUCUACCACCAACUUCUGCCGCAACCUAGAAUCCUGCUUCAGGCCAGAGCUCAGCACACUCCCAGCCUCACCAGCAAGCAGGGAGGCGCAGCUGGAGACCCAAGACCAGAUGAACUCCUUUGAGAAAAGGCUGGGCUCGGGAGAGAGCACGUGAAGUUGCUCCUGCAGGGCUAUCGUAAGCCUCACUGCGGGCCCCAGGGCUCCCAAGAAGCCCAUUUGUAAUAAACCACACUGGGGUACCGUGCACUCCCAGCGUCCAAACUGCGGGGCUGGAGGGUCCCUUUGCUCGGCCAGGAAGGGGCCCCAUGCCAACUGGAAGAGGCCGUGCCUGUGGAGAGGAGGUCCACAUGGUGAGGUCUGUGGGCCUGGAGGUGCAGGGUCAGAACCGUCCAGCGGCCCAGCGCAGGACCUCUGCAGACUGUGGCUGCGGGGUGGGAAAAGGCAGCCAACGGGCCAGAUGCACUGACUCCGCUAGGUUCCCGCUGCUUUCCUCCACGUUCCCCUCGGUGUUCGCUGAAUUUGGCCACUGGCUCCAGGCACUCAGUCUCCGGGCUCCAUCGGAUGACAAGUCAAGUUCUGUUCACCCUCCAGUUUCUGCUCAGAAAAGAGUAGCUGAGAGAAUAAAAGCAGGCUCCGUUCGUUGACGUGGGGUCUCCUCUCAGGAGACCCGGAAUUGCCCCAGGAGGCGUCCAGACCACCAGUCCUCGCCCCACCCCCGACUUGGGGCCACCGAGUCAGGCCGAGAUGGGGGUCUCCCUCCCUGGGCACAUUCUGCCCCACACUAGGUGGAAAUGGCCCCCAUUUGAGCAGCAGCAGGAGACCACGCGGGAUGCUUGGGGACAAGCAGUAUGGUUCCCACUGCACACAGAAGAGAGCGGAGAUGGUCUCUGUGGCCAGCAGGGGACCCAGUCGGGGGCUGAAUGCAGAGGGCUUCCAGCCUGGGGUGAACAGUGUUUGGUCCAGCAUGGGGUGGGGGGGCACAGGCAACCCACAGAGCCCUUUCCUCCCCGGCCGGACCUCCACACUGGCCCCACGGUGGGUGCUGCCCCAGCACCGCUCCUCAGCCCCAGACUGGGACCACAGGAGCCUCCCUGGACCCUGGGGUUAGUAUUUCAGACCUCCUUUUGCCCCUCUUCCUACCCCAGGCCCAGAGACACUCGCUGUGACCCAGGUAAGUUUAGAAGCCAGAAGCACACAGGACCCGAUUUCUGGCCAGCGAGUUCAGAAGCUAUGUGGCGACUCAGAGCGGAGGCCUCCCGGCACCCACACCCAGUCCCUGGUUCUGGAGUGGGUCACAGAGAGGGUUGGGACGCUCCCAACCAAGACUUCCCAGGAAUGUGAGCCAUGUAGCUGAUUUCGAACAAACCCCAGAUGUUUAGAAGCCUACUUCCUUCUCAGGCAGGAGGACGCUCUCUCUUGUAGACCGGCAGCCCCUUGGGAGGGCUCCGGUGGUUUCUCUGCGGGGAUCUUGGAGUCCUGGCUAAGGCCACCAUCUUGCAGGAGCGCAGAUGCUCAUAAGGGGCACCUGGGGUCUGCCACGUGCUUUGGGGGGAUGUGAUGAGUUUUGUUUUCUUGUUUUUUAAUUUAAGAGAUUGAGGCUGUGGGCUUGAACUCCCUCGUUUGAGCCAGGUGGGAGUUGACUCCAGUAUCUCGGCCCAAACCGGCACCCCAAGAAGCGCAGGAAGUCCCUGGCGACUCGUUCCGCCGCAGCGCGCAAAGCGGGCGGGACUCAGCGGCUAAGUCCCGGGGCUCCAGCAACCGCGCGCGGGCUCCGGCUCGGGCUCCGGCCUCGGCCGCCGAGAGCAGUAAACGGAAUCGGUUUCCCACGCUUCCCCUCUCCAUGCCAGAACUUUUCAAAACCCGCUUAAGAAUUCCGUCGUCCAAUUUGCGCGGAUCCUGAGCCUCGCGUUCACCCCGCCCCACCUGGAGAGAGGACCCUCGCGCCGCCCGCACCCCCGGGCCGCCCGCCCGCGCACGUGGGGAGCAACUUCGUUCCCCUCAGCGCCCUGGCCCUGCGGCGCGGGCAGAGCUCCGCCCCGCAGAGGUGGCACUGCGGUCGCUCCGGAACGCUGCCCGCGUAGACGCGGCCGCCGCCUCCUGCUCCAGGUUCCGGCUGCGCGCAGGCAGGGCCCUGUGGCAACAACGAAAACGGAGAGCCGCGUCGCUUUCCGGGCGUCCGAGUCCCGGGAGCCUCUGGGUGGGAGCCCGCCCUCCGCGUCCCCAGACGCCUCAGAGCCGAGCAGACUCCGCCAUCCACACCUGGGCUUGCCAAGCCCUCUCCUCUGCGUCCUCUGAACCUUGGUCCCUUCCCCUACACCCCGACCCCGUUAGUCUGUAAACCAAAUUUCGCCUUUGGUCCUGCCGCGUCCUCCCGACGUAACCGUGGAGGAGGAUUUCUUCACGCCUCAGUUUCCCCAUCUGUGCAGUGGGGCAAAAUACUCCUGCGCCCCUCCCAGGGUUGAUGUGGGAUUGGCAGGGAGAGCGGAGGAUGGAAAACGCCCGGCGGGGCCCAGCGCUGCCCACCUUUUGGGGCUCAGAGGUCGUGCCCAGACUGCAAGGGGCCCAAGGUUGCUCUUGAGCGACCGCUGCCCUCCCCCUUUUCUCCCCCCGCCCCCACCCGAGAACGCCCCUCCCCCCGGCGCGGUGGCGGAGGUGCGAGGGUCCCUCUCGGCGCCCAAGCGCCUCCAGUCUCCGCUCUGUCCCUGGACAGGGUUUCCCUCGCCCUGGGCGGUUCUCUCAGUUUCCUUUGGGGCCCAGGGAGGUUUAACACAACAGGCUCCAACUCUCGGGGUGGUACCACCGGGCACCCAAAAUCUCACAGAGGGUGGGUGCUGGGGAUGCCGGGGGAGGGGAGACAGGCGAUAGAAGCCCUGAUUCCAGGUGAGCUCGCAGAAGGGAAUUUGCCCCCGUCCCUCUCCCUCCCCGCGCCGCGGGGUGUCGGGCUUCUGGGCGGGACCCUGGGGCGUGACCUAGGGCUUAGAGAUCAGCCUUAAACUAGCCCAGCUAGUGGUGAGGGAGGGAAUAGGGAGCUAGGGGAGCUCGGGGAAGGGCACGGCCUGUUCAAACCGUCCCGGCUGCCCACUGCUUCUGGGCAGGACCAGUGGAGGAUGGGGGGUGGCGAGGGGGCGCCAAGUGGACACACCCUCCCCAGGUCCCCUUGACCUGCCACCAAACCAGUAAUCGCCGGCGGCUCUCUGAACCGGCAAGAAAACGGAAGAGACCAGGACCGCCCCAGGCAGGGAAAAAAAUUACCUCUUGUGCUGAGUGACCCGAAGCUGAUGGAAUCAGUUGGGGAUUCCUGUCCCCUGGGGCAGGGCUGGCUUCUUCUGCCUCUGGCGCCCAAGCCCAGGACCUGGGGGCUCUAAGAAGGAAACAGGGCACACGCAGCUUUUGGCUCCGCUGCCCCUGCCAGGGCUUCUCCACCUUCUCUCCCUUCUGCGAGGGCAGUGGGGCUCCCACCCCAGUCCUCCCUCUCGAAUCUGCAGGAGGUUCCCCGGUGAAGGAAGGAACGGUGGCCGGAAUGACAGGGACAUGCUGACACAGGGCCCUGCGCCUGCACCUCAAGCAGCUGGAGCUGUUUAUCAUCGCUCCAACUUUCGCUAAAAAGGAAAAACUAUCACUUAAACAAAGCCAUUGAAAACUCAGCAUCAUAUGUGGAUUUCUUAACAUAAAUAAAUCAUACAAACCAAGAUUUAUGUUCUCCAAAUGAUGUCAUUCGCUGAAGGCUGCCUUCCCAAUCAAAUCAACAGUUAGUGACUCUCCUUUUGUGUGUGUGCUUUUUUGCAAAAUAAGAAAAGCCGCUCUGGAAUCCUCGUUGCUCUUUUUCUCCGCUCUGCCCGGGACAUCAGAAAGAUUUCUCCCUUUCUGAUCAGCAGAACUGGAUCUAAAAGGCGACCACAGACUCAACGCCACAGACCGCAUUUCAAGCCUUUGUUUUUGAAACCUAAGUUCUGAGUUGAAAGACUAUUAAAGCUUCCUGAAGGGUUUGUUCAGACCCCAGCAGAAGCUGAGGACCCUGUGGGUCUCCCAGAACCUAGGAUGAGAGUCAUCACAUUGAAAUGGAUGAGGAAGAUGAAAAUCACCACCAGUGAUGCAUCCGUACUACGGAGGAGUGUUCGGCCACAGCAAGGAACAAAGCCCUGACACAGACCACGAUGGGCAUGGACUCAGUGACUAAAGCUAGUCAGACCAGGCCACAUACCGUACAAUGCCACCUAUGUGACACGUCCAGGAUGGGCAAAUCCAUAGAGACAGAAAAGAGACCGCUGUUUGCCAGGGCUGGGGGAGAGGUAUGUGGAGGUGACUGCUUCCUUAGCACAGGGCUUCCCUCUGGGAAGAUGAAAAUGUUCUGGAACUAGAUAGCCCACUUUAAAACAGGGAAUGUCAUGCUAUGUGAAUUGUAUCUCAAUAAAUCGGUUAUUUAAAAAUCA